This 467-nucleotide ribosomal RNA is filed under the name uncultured bacterium. RNAcentral describes it as "partial 16S ribosomal RNA". It matches the Rfam family "Bacterial small subunit ribosomal RNA", at positions 29 to 507 of the family's 1533-position model. The record is from RNAcentral.
ACGAACGCUGGCGGCGUGCUUAACACCUGCAAGUCGAACGGUGAUGCUCCAGCUUGCUGGCGUGGAUCAGUGGCGAACGGGUGAGUAACACGUGAGCAACCUGCCCCAGACUCUGGAAUAAGCGCUGGAAACGGCGUCUAAUACUGGAUACGAAACUGGCCCGCAUGGGCAUGGUUUGGAAAGUUUUUCGGUUUGGGAUGGGCUCGCGGCCUAUCAGCUUGUUGGUGAGGUAAUGGCUCACCAAGGCGACGACGGGUAGCCGGCCUGAGAGGGCGACCGGCCACACUGGGACUGAGACACGGCCCAGACUCCUACGGGAGGCAGCAGUGGGGAAUAUUGCACAAUGGGCGAAAGCCUGAUGCAGCGACGCCGCGUGAGGGAUGACGGCCUUCGGGUUGUAAACCUCUUUCAGCAGGGAAGAAGCGAAAGUGACGGUACCUGCAGAAGAAGCACCGGCUAACUACGUG